ACAACAUCUCUAACGUUUGUUUGCGGAUGGCGAUAAUAUUAUAGAAGAAGAGCCACAAUAACAACACAGCUCACUUGCCUUCACAGCAAAGAAGAUAUUACAGAGGAGUCCACCUCCACCUCCACGCUGUAUUCUGUGCGAUGGUGACUUCAAGCAGCCUGUCAAACUGACCUGUGGCCACUGCUUCUGCAAAGCCUGCUAAAGGAAUACUGGAGACAAAAGGGAAAUCGGGAAUGUCCAGUCUGCAAGAGAAAAUCUUCCAUGGAGAAUCCUCCAGCCAUGUAGCAGGAAGUCAAAUGGGACCCUAUAUUCCCUAUAUAGUGCACUAAUUUUGACCAGGACCAUAUUACGUCUACUACCUGGUUAUAACAGAGAUCCCACUCCCUCCCAAGCAAAUAGCUGCUUUGAUUCUGACUUCCAGAUCUCACAUUUCUGAUUUUUAUUUCAAUUUGCCAUUUCAUUAUUAAUUAAUUUACAUUUGAAGCACUUUGAGAUUGCUAUGGCAUUCUACUGUAGUUCGAUGUAAUUGCUGCAUUGUUUAAAAUCUUGGUCAUGUUUUAUGGCCUUCAUGUCAUGUUUAAAAUCUGUAAAAAUGUAAAGUCCAUACCUGCGCAUCUGACUUUCCCCACAGUUCCGUCAAGGGGAUUUUUUUAAAUGUCUUUAUCAUAGCCUCCUGGUUUUCACCAAUCAGCGUGCCCGAAUGGACAUUUGGACUCUGACCCCUCCAACCCAAGGUCAGAGUGUUUUAGUCGUCAGAAGAAGAAGACUCAAGUUGAUUGUGUUUACUAGGAAGAUUGAGCAUCUAAGAAAGUACAUCACGUGCUGCCGCCUAGAGAGAGAUGUUAAUAUACAUCAGUGGAGGCUGCUGAGGGAGGGACGGCUCAUAAUAAUGGCUGGUUGGCACCAGACACAGAUCAGGCUUCGGGACAAGUCUCUGAAUGUCCUUGAGUGGCCCUGCCAGAGCCCGGACUUGAACCCGAUCGAACAUCUCU
Molecule: long non-coding RNA, 992 nt
Organism: Coregonus clupeaformis (lake whitefish)
Lineage: Eukaryota; Metazoa; Chordata; Actinopteri; Salmoniformes; Salmonidae
Exons: 3
Source: RefSeq, a predicted model, not a curated record